AUAAGGUUAAGUUAAUAAGGGCGCACGGUGGAUGCCUUGGCACUAGGAGCCGAAGAAGGACGUGACAAACGACGAUAUGCCUUGGGUAGCUGUAAGUAAGCGAUGAUCCAGGGAUUUCCGAAUGGGGGAACCCAACAGGUACUACCUGUUACCCACAUCUGUUAAGGAUGUGAGGAGGAAGACGCAGUGAACUGAAACAUCUAAGUAGCUGCAGGAAGAGAAAGCAAAAGCGAUUGCCUUAGUAGCGGCGAGCGAAACGGCAGGAGGGCAAACCGAAGAGUUUACUCUUCGGGGUUGUAGGACUGCAAUGUGGACUCAAAGAUUAUAGAAGAAUGAUUUGGGAAGAUCAGCCAAAGAGAGUAAUAGCCUCGUAUUUAAAAUAGUCUUUGUACCUAGCAGUAUCCUGAGUACGGCGGGACACGAGAAAUCCCGUCGGAAUCUGGGAGGACCAUCUCCCAACCCUAAAUACUCCCUAGUGACCGAUAGUGAACCAGUACCGUGAGGGAAAGGUGAAAAGNNNNNNNNNNCCCCGGGAGGGGAGUGAAAUAGAACCUGAAACCGUGUGCCUACAACAAGUUCGAGCCCGUUAAUGGGUGAGAGCGUGCCUUUUGUAGAAUGAACCGGCGAGUUACGUUAUGAUGCGAGGUUAAGUUGAAGAGACGGAGCCGUAGGGAAACCGAGUCUGAAUAGGGCGAAUUAGUAUCAUGACGUAGACCCGAAACCAUGUGACCUACCCAUGAGCAGGUUGAAGGUGCGGUAAGACGCACUGGAGGACCGAACCAGGGCACGUUGAAAAGUGCUUGGAUGACUUGUGG
This 815-nucleotide ribosomal RNA is filed under the name Rothia mucilaginosa. Its description in RNAcentral is "partial 23S ribosomal RNA". It matches the Rfam family "Bacterial large subunit ribosomal RNA", at positions 1 to 814 of the family's 2925-position model. The record is from RNAcentral. Lineage: Bacteria; Bacillati; Actinomycetota; Actinomycetes; Micrococcales; Micrococcaceae.